Molecule: non-coding RNA, 776 nt
Organism: Phoenix dactylifera (date palm)
Lineage: Eukaryota; Viridiplantae; Streptophyta; Magnoliopsida; Arecales; Arecaceae
Source: RefSeq, a predicted model, not a curated record
UUCAGAUUCUACUUUCUGCUGAACAAACUAGGUUGUUGGGCUUGGUGGAGUUGAAGUUACAUGUAUGCAUAUUCUUUUAUGUAUCUAGGUGGGGUUGGCAGAGGUUAUGCAGGUAGACAGUUGGUUGUCUAGAGCUGGAAGAAAUUAGGUAAUUGCUAGAAUGGAAAGUGCGAUGUAGGAGCAGCCAAAUGAUAGUUGCACUUAUGAUGCUGAUCGGAAGAGUGAAAAAGAAAGCCAUACCGCAGGCAAAGAGGAGCCCCCACCAUGGGAGCUGAAUUUCGUCCUUUAGCACAGUGCAGAGGAUUAGAGAGACUACAAUUGUCAAUACUAGCAACAAGUGAAACCACCACCCAGAAUUUUACGGAUGCAAAAAAGCAUGGACAGAAUAUGCAGCAGCUUGCUUUUUUAAAUAGGACAUGAUGACAGCAGUUACCAUGAAUCACCGUCCAAAGAUUUUGUUCUACUCACAGAUGUUUUUGUUUCUCAUGCCUUUCUCCAUUCUCAGUCAACGAGUGAUUAUAUUUGCAUCUUGCAUAAGUAUAUGAUGGCUUUAAACUCUAUAUACACAAUAGCAGUUCUAUGAGAGUUUAUCACAUUUGUGCUGAACCAACUGUGGUCAAAAUUGGCUUUGUCAGCAUGUUUUUUGGAAAAACCAUCAAGUAGUUACUUGUCUUAGAAAAUAUUUGAUUUUUUUGUCAUAUGACCUUCAAUAAUUUUAUGUAAUAUGUUGCGUUGCCAUUGACAAAUAUGGUGUCUUCCGAAACUUUCAAAAGAUA